GAUGAACGCUGGCGGCGUGCCUAAUACAUGCAAGUCGAGCGAACAGACGAGGAGCUUGCUCCUCUGACGUUAGCGGCGGACGGGUGAGUAACAAGUGGAUAACCUACCUAUAAGACUGGGAUAACUUCGGGAAACCGGUGCCAAUACCGGAUAAUAUAUUGAACCGCAUGGUUCAAUAGUGAAAGACGGUUUUGCUGUCACUUAUAGAUGGAUCCGCGCCGCAUUAGCUAGUUGGUAAGGUAACGGCUUACCAAGGCAACGAUGCGUAGCCGACCUGAGAGGGUGAUCGGCCACACUGGAACUGAGACACGGUCCAGACUCCUACGGGAGGCAGCAGUAGGGAAUCUUCCGCAAUGGGCGAAAGCCUGACGGAGCAACACCGCGUGAGUGAUGAAGGUCUUCGGAUCGUAAAACUCUGUUAUUAGGGAAGAACAAAUGUGUAAGUAACUAUGCACGUCUUGACGGUACCUAAUCAGAAAGCCACGGCUAACUACGUG
This 497-nucleotide ribosomal RNA is filed under the name uncultured bacterium. Its description in RNAcentral is "partial 16S ribosomal RNA". It matches the Rfam family "Bacterial small subunit ribosomal RNA", at positions 28 to 507 of the family's 1533-position model. The record is from RNAcentral.